Molecule: long non-coding RNA, 633 nt
Organism: Zingiber officinale
Lineage: Eukaryota; Viridiplantae; Streptophyta; Magnoliopsida; Zingiberales; Zingiberaceae
Exons: 3
Source: RefSeq, a predicted model, not a curated record
CUCACCCAAUCCCCAUUCUCAUCUUCUUCACUCGUGCCCUAGCCUCCAUCUCUUCUCACCGACGCCGACUGCCCAAGCCUCAAUCCAGCCAUUGUUCUUUCAUCCCUAGCCGCGGAUACUCGCCGGAAAACCAGGCACAGCAAGCUCUCGAUCCGCCAUCGUCGACAGUCGAGCGGUGUUCUUUGUACCUCUUGGUGCUGAGCCCUCACGACUCCACCGCACGUUGAUGUCGUUGCCGAUCUUGUGUUCCGAUUUCCACUCUACCUCAUUCUCCUCUUCCGACUCGAGCCACUUGCGGAGUGAUCCCGGUGUCCCGGUCCAGUGCUAGACCUCUCCCUCGCGCGUCUCUGCCGACUUCAUUGCUGCAAGCUCUGCUGGGUUGUGCCCUAGCUUUGGUUAACUCCGUGUCGCUACAACCACCAGUCCGGUGAAGAUCAUAUGUUCGAUGAAACGCUUAAUUCCUCUUGCUGUCGCUGUUCGUGUCGUCAAUGCUGUCAAUGGCCUCCACUUCAGUGAGUAGUUGUUGGAUUGAUGAACAACCUUGGAGAAGAAGAUGGAGCCAUAGGAGGGACAGUGAUUUCAUCUUCGCUAGCAGAGAGUUAUACCAGCUAUAAGUCAUUGGCGGAGCCAUCA